This 520-nucleotide ribosomal RNA is filed under the name uncultured Glomus. RNAcentral's name for it is "SSU rRNA". It matches the Rfam family "Eukaryotic small subunit ribosomal RNA", at positions 569 to 1092 of the family's 1831-position model. Lineage: Eukaryota; Fungi; Glomeromycota; Glomeromycetes; Glomerales; Glomeraceae. The record is from RNAcentral.
AGCAGCCGCGGUAAUUCCAGCUCCAAUAGCGUAUAUUAAAGUUGUUGCAGUUAAAAAGCUCGUAGUUGAAUUUCGGGAUCAAAUUGUUGGUCGUGCUUCGGUACGCACUGGCAUUAUUGGUUCCUACCUUCUGAAGAACCGCGACGUCAUUAAUUUGGUGUCGUGGGGAAUCAGGACUGUUACUUUGAAAAAUUAGAGUGUUUAAAGCAGGCUUACGCUUGAAUACAUUAGCAUGGAAUAAUGAAAUAGGACGUUUGAUUCUAUUUUGUUGGUUUCUAGGAUCGACGUAAUGAUUAAUAGGGAUAGUUGGGGGCAUUAGUAUUCAAUUGUCAGAGGUGAAAUUCUUGGAUUUAUUGAAGACUAACUACUGCGAAAGCAUUUGCCAAGGAUGUUUUCAUUAAUCAAGAACGAAAGUUAGGGGAUCGAAGACGAUCAGAUACCGUCGUAGUCUUAACCAUAAACUAUGCCGACUAGGGAUCGGAUGAUGUUAAUUUUUAAUGUACUCAUUCGGCGCCUUACG